RNAcentral lists this transfer RNA (70 nucleotides) under Phalera assimilis. RNAcentral's name for it is "tRNA-Ala". It matches the Rfam family "tRNA". From Rfam's summary of the family: Transfer RNA (tRNA) molecules are approximately 80 nucleotides in length. Their secondary structure includes four short double-helical elements and three loops (D, anti-codon, and T loops). The record is from RNAcentral. Lineage: Eukaryota; Metazoa; Arthropoda; Insecta; Lepidoptera; Notodontidae.
AGGAUUAUAGUUUAAAAAAAAACAUUUGAUUUGCAUUCAAAAAAUAUUGAACUUAUAUCAAUUUAUCUUA